RNAcentral lists this ribosomal RNA (467 nucleotides) under uncultured bacterium. RNAcentral's name for it is "partial 16S ribosomal RNA". It matches the Rfam family "Bacterial small subunit ribosomal RNA", at positions 29 to 507 of the family's 1533-position model. The record is from RNAcentral.
ACGAACGCUGGCGGCGUGCUUAACACAUGCAAGUCGAACGGAAAGGCCCUGCUUUUGUGGGGUGCUCGAGUGGCGAACGGGUGAGUAACACGUGAGUAACCUGCCCUUGACUUUGGGAUAACUUCAGGAAACUGGGGCUAAUACCGGAUAGGAGCUCCUGCUGCAUGGUGGGGGUUGGAAAGUUUCGGCGGUUGGGGAUGGACUCGCGGCUUAUCAGCUUGUUGGUGGGGUAGUGGCUUACCAAGGCUUUGACGGGUAGCCGGCCUGAGAGGGUGACCGGCCACAUUGGGACUGAGAUACGGCCCAGACUCCUACGGGAGGCAGCAGUGGGGAAUAUUGCACAAUGGGCGGAAGCCUGAUGCAGCAACGCCGUGUGCGGGAUGACGGCCUUCGGGUUGUAAACCGCUUUCGCCUGUGACGAGGCGUGAGUGACGGUAAUGGGUAAAGAAGCACCGGCUAACUACGUG